This 253-nucleotide ribosomal RNA is filed under the name uncultured bacterium. Its description in RNAcentral is "partial 16S ribosomal RNA". It matches the Rfam family "Bacterial small subunit ribosomal RNA", at positions 524 to 776 of the family's 1533-position model. The record is from RNAcentral.
UACGGAGGGUGCAAGCGUUAUCCGGAUUCACUGGGUUUAAAGGGUGCGUAGGUGGAUUAGUAAGUCAGUGGUGAAAUCUCCGGGCUUAACCCGGAAACUGCCAUUGAUACUAUUAGUCUUGAAUACCGUGGAGGUCAGCGGAAUAUGUCAUGUAGCGGUGAAAUGCUUAGAUAUGACAUAGAAUACCUAUUGCGAAGGCAGCUUACUACACAGAUAUUGACGCUCAUGCACGAAAGCGUGGGGAUCAAACAGG